CCUACGGGAGGCUGUAGUGGGGAAUAUUGCACAAUGGGGGAAACCCUGAUGCAGCGACGCCGCGUGAGUGAGGAAGUAUUUCGGUAUGUAAAGCUCUAUCAGCAGGGAAGAAAAUGACGGUACUUGACUAAGAAGCCCCGGCUAACUACGUGCCAGCAGCCGCGGUAAUACGUAGGGGGCAAGCGUUAUCCGGAUUUACUGGGUGUAAAGGGGGCGUAGACGGUUAAUCAAGUCAGAAGUGAAAACCCAGGGCUCAACCUUGGGACUGCUUUUGAAACUGAGUAGCUAGAGUGCAGGAGAGGUAAGCGGAAUUCCUAGUGUAGCGGUGAAAUGCGUAGAUAUUAGGAGGAACACCAGUGGCGAAGGCGGCGUACUGGACUGUAACUGACGUUGAGGCUCGAAAGCGUGGGGAGCAAACAGGAUUAGAUACCCGGGUAGUC
This 440-nucleotide ribosomal RNA is filed under the name uncultured bacterium. RNAcentral describes it as "partial 16S ribosomal RNA". It matches the Rfam family "Bacterial small subunit ribosomal RNA", at positions 338 to 795 of the family's 1533-position model. The record is from RNAcentral.